RNAcentral lists this long non-coding RNA (2161 nucleotides) under Malus domestica (apple). Its description in RNAcentral is "long non-coding RNA (MDOM_LNC018229)". The record is from RNAcentral. Lineage: Eukaryota; Viridiplantae; Streptophyta; Magnoliopsida; Rosales; Rosaceae.
AUAUAUGUAUAUAUAUGUUUAUAUAUUAUUUUCUGGGAAAAGUAUACAGGUUUUACAGAGAUGGGUUAGAAUUAUUUUUGGCGAAAUAUUUUUGAAAAGCUUUGGUUUUACUGACCCACUCAAUUUUGUUUUUCGCCCCUCCAGGUUCAAGUUAGCAGAGCUUUGGUGGCCACGAGGAACCCAACGGCAUUCUGACAGAAUUCACAAAAGUAGGACUCACCCUCGAGGGUUUCCAUUUUAGUAAUUGUAUUUUAAAAGCUUCCGAACUGUGUAAAUGGUUACGUCACUCUCACGUGACGGCCAGCAUGCCCUGCUUCGGGACGGGGUGUGUCAAACAUGCUUUAGAGAAUUCCCUCAAUUCCUUACCAGAUUCUCUCUUAUUUUCACACAAGACUUUCUGACUACACUCCCUAUACUAAGUAUAUGUGAGAAGAUUGAUGUAAACAUGAAAACUAGUACUCACAUAUGUUUAUAACAAAGAAAGCAAUUUCUAGAAUUAUUAAUGCAUGUAUAUAUAUAUGAUCUCAUGAACGGAAUGCUACUACUUAGAAGCAAGAACCAGGGAUUCCAUAUGCUCAUACCAAUUUCAAACUCCACAAAUUGAAACACAUAACACCCAAGAUAGAAGUCAAAGGGUUGUAACGGGGCUUAGGUAUUGGCUAACAAGGAAAGGUAAGGGUAGACAAACGUUCUUAAAGCAAUAGUAAGCAAAGUAAUGAAAUUGACACUUAGAAUUCACUUUUGAAUGCAAAAAUCCACCUUAAACACAAAGGGAAGGUUCACAAAACACUUAGCGCCAGAUUCAAUCUUUUGGACCCUUUCUUCAACAACCAACACUUGUGAGCUCAUUCUCACUUAUUUAGAACUCUUUUUCUUUCUUUCAAACCCUUGCCCUAUUUCUUUGGCACACAAAACACACACUUUGAAAACCCUUCCCCCACACUUGUUUCUGCAAUAAUGUUGCCCAAAAGGAAUUCCUUCUAAGUUAUGCUUCACUAUACUUUAAGAACAAGGGUAAGGAUAGUCUUAUUUGAGGCUUGGUAGGGAUAAUGUGGUUAAUAAAGAAAAUAGGCUAAACAAGGCUCAAAGAGGUUAAACCUACAAAACAAAUGCAUAGGAUGAAGGCUUUUUGGCUCUGGUGGUAACUACUAAACAACUUCAUCUUGUUAUGUGUUAUGCAUUCAAUUUUAAGCUUUGAAUGGAACGGGCAUGAGUUCUAGUAUUUGGAACUAUAAUGAUGAAAACGCAUUCUAAGUAGCAACCAAGCAAAGAAUAAUGAGAUAAUGCAACGACUUAGUAAACAAGAAUGCACAGAUUAAUAACUCUCCAAAUAACGUUUAGGCUCAAGUCUCACAGGGUUGUAGCGUUAGUUUGAGUCCUUCCUUCAAGCAUGCUACAAAAACUGAUUUUUUUUUUCUUUAUGAUUACAUGUGAAUUCGUAAACAUCAACUAUAACCAAGUAUUAGCCAAAGAGCAUAUCAAACUUCCAUCCAUGUUUGUAACUUUCUUUAACAGUCAUGCAAUUAAAAACCGAAUCCUCAUCAUUGUGUUGGAAGGUAUCCUAAGACACAAACAACACACAAAAACAACUCUUUUUGGCUUUUUCAAAACAAUUUUUCAAGUUUUUAUCAAAUUUUCAGAUUUUUAUGUCAAAACAUACUAAAAUGCUUCAAAACACACUACAAACACUUAAAACAAUGAAAAACAACAUUGUAAGUGAUAGGUAAAUAAAUUUUUAUGUCAAAACAUACUAAAAUGCUUCAAAACACACUACAAACACUUAAAAAUAGUGAAAAACAACAUUGUAAGUGAUAGGUAAAUAAUGAAGGAAAAUUUUGUGAAAACAUGUUCAUUUAAGCAACAUCAAUAAGCAUGCAAUUAACAAUUAAAGGCGAAAUCAUGCUAGCAUGCACUUAAAAACAAAACAUUAACCAAGAAAUUCAAAACCUAGUAGAUUGGUGAACCAUUAAUCAACUCAAAACAAAGUGAGUUGAAAUUGUACCUUUGUAGAUUCCUCUUUGCAUAAGCAAAGGCUAAUCACCCAAAGAGAGGGCCUUCAUUCCUUGCAUAUUAAAUCUAUGGAUUUGGAUGGAAGAAUAGGAUUCUCCAAGUUCCCAAAAUAGGGAACCUCUAAGUCUCUUCACCAAGGAGAGAUUGGAGA